AGAGCGAAUGCUGGCGGCAGGCCUAACACAUGCAAGUCGAGCGCCCGUAGCAAUACGGGAGCGGCAGACGGGAUAGUAACACGUGGGAACGCGCCCUUCGGUUCGGAAUAACUCAGGGAAACUUGAGCUAAUACCGAAUACGCCCUUACGGGGAAAGAUUUAUUGCCGAAGGAACGGCCCGCGUCCGAUUAGCUAGUUGGUGAGGUAAUGGCUCACCAAGGCUACGAUCGGUAGCUGGUCUGAGAGGAUGACCAGCAUCACUGGGACUGAGACACGGCCCAGACUCCUACGGGAGGCAGCAGUGGGGAAUAUUGGACAAUGGGCGCAAGCCUGAUCCAGCCAUGCCGCGUGGAUGAUGAAGGCCUUAGGGUUGUAAAGUCCUUUUAACGGGGAAGAUAAUGACGGUACCCGUAGAAUAAGCCCCGGCUAACUUCGUGCCAGCAGCCGC
This 448-nucleotide ribosomal RNA is filed under the name uncultured bacterium. Its description in RNAcentral is "SSU rRNA". It matches the Rfam family "Bacterial small subunit ribosomal RNA", at positions 26 to 518 of the family's 1533-position model. The record is from RNAcentral.